RNAcentral lists this ribosomal RNA (528 nucleotides) under Stenotrophomonas maltophilia. Its description in RNAcentral is "partial 23S ribosomal RNA". It matches the Rfam family "Bacterial large subunit ribosomal RNA", at positions 886 to 1423 of the family's 2925-position model. The record is from RNAcentral. Lineage: Bacteria; Pseudomonadati; Pseudomonadota; Gammaproteobacteria; Lysobacterales; Lysobacteraceae.
GUGAGAGAUACGGAGGUAGAGCACUGAAUGUCCUAGGGGGUAUUGCACCUACCGAAGACUAUCAAACUCCGAAUGCCGUCAUCUUAUACUUGGGAGUCAGACUGUGGGUGAUAAGAUUCAUAUUCGAAAGGGCAACAGCCCAGAUCGUCAGCUAAGGUCCCUAAAUGUAAGUUAAGUGGUAAAGGAUGUGGGAUUGCACAGACAACCAGGAUGUUGGCUUAGAAGCAGCCACUCAUUCAAAGAGUGCGUAAUAGCUCACUGGUCGAGUGAUCCUGGGCCGAAGAUUUCCGGGGCUAAAACUUACUACCGAAGCUACGGCAUCAGUAAUGAUGGGUAGGGGAGCUUCCCAUACGGGUUGAAGCAUGACCGUAAGGACAUGUGGACAGUAUGGGAGUGAGAAUGUUGGCAUGAGUAGCGAGAUGUGGGUGAGAAUCCCACAGGCCGUAAACCCAAGGUUUCCAGGGGAAGGUUCGUCCGCCCUGGGUUAGUCGGGACCUAAGCUGAGGCCGAAAGGCGUAGGUGAUGGAC